Molecule: ribosomal RNA, 260 nt
Filed under: uncultured bacterium
Lineage: Bacteria
Description: partial 16S ribosomal RNA
Rfam family: Bacterial small subunit ribosomal RNA
Source: RNAcentral
UACGUAGGGUGCGAGCGUUGUCCGGAAUUAUUGGGCGUAAAGAGCUCGUAGGCGGUGUGUCGCGUCGGCCGUGAAAACCUGGGGCUUAACUCUGGGCGUGCGGUCGAUACGGGCAUCACUGGAGUUCGGCAGGGGGAGACUGGAAUUCCUGGUGUAGCGGUGAAAUGCGCAGAUAAUCAGGAGGAACACCGGUGGCGAAGGGCGGGGUCUCUGGGGCCGAUACUGACGCUGAGGAGCGAAAGCAUGGGUAGCGAACAGGA